RNAcentral lists this ribosomal RNA (226 nucleotides) under uncultured bacterium. RNAcentral's name for it is "partial 16S ribosomal RNA". It matches the Rfam family "Bacterial small subunit ribosomal RNA", at positions 113 to 334 of the family's 1533-position model. The record is from RNAcentral.
CGACGUAGGUAACCUGCCUUGUAGCGGGGGAUAACUAUUGGAAACGAUAGCUAAUAACGCAUAACAAUGGAUGACACAUGUCAUUUAUUUGAAAGGGGCAAUUGCUCCACUACAAGAUGGACCUGCGUUGUAUUAGCUAGUAGGUGAGGUAACGGCUCACCUAGGCGACGAUACAUAGCCGACCUGAGAGGGUGAUCGGCCACACUGGGACUGAGACACGGCCCAG